AUUGAACGCUGGCGGCAUGCUUUACACAUGCAAGUCGAACGGUAACAGGCCUUCGGGUGCUGACGAGUGGCGAACGGGUGAGUAAUGCAUCGGAACGUACCCAGAGGUGGGGGAUAACGCAGCGAAAGCUGUGCUAAUACCGCAUGUGAUCUGAGGAUGAAAGCGGGGGACCGAGCAGCAAUGUUUGGCCUCGCGCCUUUGGAGCGGCCGAUGUCGGAUUAGCUAGUUGGUGGGGUAAAGGCCUACCAAGGCGACGAUCCGUAGCUGGUCUGAGAGGACGACGAGCGACACUGGGACUGAGACACGGCCCAGACUCCUACGGGAGGCAGCAGUGGGGAAUUUUGGACACUGGGCGCAAGACUGAUCCAGCAAUGCCGCGUGCGGGAAGAAGGCCUUCGGGUUGUAAACCGCUUUUGGCAGGAACGAAACGGUGUCCGCUAAUACCGGGCGCUAAUGACGGUACCUGCAGAAUAAGCACCGGCUAACUACGUG
RNAcentral lists this ribosomal RNA (492 nucleotides) under uncultured bacterium. RNAcentral's name for it is "partial 16S ribosomal RNA". It matches the Rfam family "Bacterial small subunit ribosomal RNA", at positions 29 to 507 of the family's 1533-position model. The record is from RNAcentral.